AUUGAACGCUAGCGGGAUGCCUUACACAUGCAAGUCGAACGGCAGCGCGGACUUCGGUCUGGCGGCGAGUGGCGAACGGGUGAGUAAUAUAUCGGAACGUGCCUAGUAGCGGGGGAUAACUACUCGAAAGAGUAGCUAAUACCGCUUACGCCCUACGGGGGAAAGGGGGGGAUCGCAAGACCUCUCACUAUUAGAGCGGCCGAUAUCGGAUUAGCUAGUUGGUGGGGUAAAGGCCCACCAAGGCGACGAUCCGUAGCUGGUUUGAGAGGACGACCAGCCACACUGGGACUGAGACACGGCCCAGACUCCUACGGGAGGCAGCAGUGGGGAAUUUUGGACAAUGGGGGAAACCCUGAUCCAGCCAUUCCGCGUGUGCGAUGAAGGCCUUCGGGUUGUAAAGCACUUUUGGCAGGAAAGAAAUCGCACAAAUUAAUACUUUGUGUGGAUGACGGUACCUGCAGAAUAAGCACCGGCUAACUACGUGCC
This 486-nucleotide ribosomal RNA is filed under the name uncultured beta proteobacterium. Its description in RNAcentral is "bacterial SSU rRNA". It matches the Rfam family "Bacterial small subunit ribosomal RNA", at positions 30 to 509 of the family's 1533-position model. The record is from RNAcentral. Lineage: Bacteria; Pseudomonadati; Pseudomonadota; Betaproteobacteria.